Molecule: long non-coding RNA, 5824 nt
Filed under: Musa acuminata (dwarf banana)
Lineage: Eukaryota; Viridiplantae; Streptophyta; Magnoliopsida; Zingiberales; Musaceae
Description: long non-coding RNA (MACU_LNC002182)
Source: RNAcentral
CAGAGCUGGAUUGGGUGGAGUCCUGCCUCACCAGCUGGGAAAUCUCUCCGAUCUGCAGUAUCUAGACUUAUACAAUGACUUGGAUCCCAAUUUUGUGGUUCGGGUCCGUGAAUUUAGCAUUGGUGAUGCACUCUGGAUUUCUCACCUUUCUUCUCUAAAGCAUCUCAACCUGAAGAGUGUUAACUUUCAAAAUGGUACUCACUGGCUGGAAGCUCUGAACAUGCUUCCUUCUAUCGUGGAGAUAUACUUAUCUCUCUGUGAAAUUCCAAGUGUUCCCCUCUCUCUUCCGCAUGUGAACUUUACAUCACUAUCUGUUCUUGAUUUGUCCUAUAAUUUCAUUAGCUCUACGAUACCCUCUUGGUUAUUCAACAUAAGUGGCCUUGAGCAUCUUGAUCUCAGUGAUAACUUAUUUCAGGGUAAUAUUCCACCAGCCUUUGGUAACUUGGCUUCCCUCAAGGGCCUUAAUUUAGCUAACAAUUUUCGUCUUCAAGGAGGAAUACCCACUUCCUUCAAAAAUCUGUGCAAGUUGCAGAAUUUAAUAUUGUCAGGCAUCAAUAUCAGCAAAGAUUUGUUAGAACUCGAUGAAAUUUUCUCUGGUUGCAUCAAGAUGAGCCUAGAGGUUCUAAGCUUAGCUAGAACGAAUAUUAGUGGGCAGUUGCCUGAAUGGUUAUUCCAACUAGCGUCACUCCAAGAGCUCUAUCUUCAUCGAAAUCAACUGAAUGGAACUAUACCAGAAAGCUUGGGACAGCUGUCUCAGCUAGUUGUUUUGGACCUUUGGUACAACCAUUUGGAGGGUGUAAUGUCUGAGGCGCAUUUUGGAAACCUCACAGAAUUGAAAUACUUAACUUUGUCGUCCAACUCCUUGGCUCUGAAGGUCAAGAGCAAUUGGCUUCCUCCCUUCCGGCUAGAAUCCCUUUGGAUGGGCUCCUGCAAACUGGGUCCCGAGUUCCCUGCAUGGCUCCAGUCGCAAAUAAAUAUUUCAGAAAUUGUUAUGUCUAAUGCUAGUAUUAUUGAUGCUAUGCCAAACUGGUUUUGGAGCUUAAUUUCCACGGCAGUGUACGUGAGUGUCUCCGGCAAUCAGAUCAGUGGCCACGUACCCAAUUUGUUGCAUUUAAACAACCUCUACGGGUUGGAUUUAAGUUCAAACUACUUCGAGGGUCCUCUUCCAUAUUUUCCUCCUGGAUUGUCUUUAUUAGAUCUGUCAAACAAUUCAUUUUCAGGAACAAUUUCACUUGCCAUCAUCAUGAAUAUGCCUAACCUCGUAUAUUUAUCGCUUUCGGAAAACAAUUUAAGCGGUGAAAUUCCCUUCUCUAUAUGCCAACUGCAGGUCUUGUGGAUUCUUGAUCUUUCAAAAAAUAUGUUGUCAGGAGAGCUCCCCAAUUGCUGGAAUAAUUCUUCCCCAAUUGAAGUUAUGGAUUUUUCAAGAAACAACAUAUCUGGAGUUAUUCCUGAGUCGAUAUGUUCCUUAGUAUCGCUUCAGUCGUUGCACUUGAGCAAUAACAGUCUAUCUGGAGAGCUGCCUUUGUCCUUGAAGGAUUGUGGGAAAUUAAUCCUUCUUGAUGCCGGACAUAAUGAUUUGAAAGGUGAAAUUCAAACCUGGAUAGGUGAAAGUUUAACUAGUCUGCGGUUCCUCAAUCUGCGAUCAAAUAUGUUGGCCGGAGAUGUUCCUCCAAAUCUUUCAAGAUUGAGUGCUCUCCAAUUUCUCGACCUUGCAGAUAAUGAGCUAUCGGGAACUAUUCCAAGGAGCUUUGGAAAUUUUACUGCCAUGAAAGUAAUUGAAAAUUUUUCGAGUUGGAGGACAGGUCAAAUUAGAUAUAAGGAGCAGAUGUUUAUAACAACUAAAGGAAACACUCGAGCGUAUGAUGUGUCGCUUUCGCUUAUCAAUAUCUUGGACCUCUCGGACAAUAACUUAUUUGGAGGAGUACCUGAAGAACUCACAAGUCUUUUUGGCUUAUUCAGCUUAAAUUUAUCUGGAAACCAUUUCACAGGAGAAAUCAUUGAAAAUAUCAGUAAAUUACAACAGUUGGAGUCCCUUGACUUGUCAAGGAACAACUUUUCUGGCACAAUUCCUUCGAGCCUCGCUGCCCUGACUUCUUUGGCUCACUUGAACCUCUCAUACAACAACUUGUCAGGGGAAAUUCCUCUUGGUAAUCAACUUCUGACCUUCAAUGAUCCAUCUAUCUAUAUUGGCAAUCCUGGUCUUUGUGGGUUUCCUCUGAAUCAAAGUUGCAAAGACAAUGAGACAGCACAAGGUCGAAGUAAUGCAGAUGACAGAGAUGACAACGAGAUGAUAUGGUUCUACAUGAGCAUGGCACCAGGAUUUGUUGUUGGUUUCUGGGCAGUCUGGGGUACAUUGAUACUAAACAAGAAUUGGAACCUUUACUACUUCAGAUUUAUAGACAAUAUACUUGACAAAGUGUAUGUGUUCACCGUACUGAAAGUUUCUAGGAUCAGAAAACGUUGUUGUUUCCAACAAGGAUGAUAAAUUUGAACAUCAAUAUAUGCUGUAUGAGAGUUCAUCUCGUUAAUAUCAUAUCAUCAGCUUGAAUAAAAUUUAAUACUUCUGGACUUGUAUACAAGUAAGUCAUGCACUCUCAAUUUUGAUCAUUUCUGUCAAGUUCGCAGUACCAUAUGAAGUGUUCUAAUUCUGGGGACUGCCAAAAAGCUUGCACCUUUUAAUUAGUUUUUCCAAAAUAGACACCCCUUUUUUAGUUGUUCAGUUUGGCAGAAAUGAAAGGAGGUUAAAACUUUUACGAAGAUAUAGAUAGAAUUUCUGCAGCUGCGACAGAUGGAGCUGUUUAAUAUGAUCUACUCAUGUAAUGAUCCUCUUGUGUUUGAGAUGCUUGUCUUCAUCAAUCAAAUACAUAUUGGAUGCAUCAUAAGCUCAAGUCCACCAAAUGUGCAGCUGCUUGAUCAUCUUGGAUCUCAUGCUCAGAUCUUUUCACUUGAUGAGUCUCCCAUUAAUGGGGGACAUGCUGCUGCAGAUGAUGGAAUUGGGCCGAAGAGGCUUUCACACGCAUGUCAAUGUGACAAGGAUGAUCUGUGCAUGCAGGAAUAAUCCAUUUAUGAUAUACAGAGUGUGGCCCCUCUCUGAGCCGCUCACAUUGAAUUUUGCCAUGGAUUCUGUGUUAUGACUCGGGAUGUAGACGAGCUUCAUUUGAUUACCUGUUGCCAUUAGCACUCAAACGUAAGCAAAGUUCAUAGGAAUGUAAUUCUUGGUUCAAACUGUUUUGUAGACGCAAAACAAAGAAGAGGUGUUACAUCAACAUUUUCUUAUGGAUCUAAUUAUCACCCUCCAUAAAUAAGAGUGAUUAAGAUCAGGAGUGAAUCGAGAUUAAUAAUUUUUCUAGUAUCCAAUAAAUAAAAAAUUAUGUAUUUUUAUUUAAUUAUAGACAUUAUCUUGUACAAAACUCGAGAAUUGAUUUUAAAUAAUUGUUAUUAUUUUUGUAAAUAAAAAGAUCUAUUGCUCAAAAGAUAAUGUGUUAUUUAUAGAAAUGUAAGUUUGACUAGAAAUCCCACCACGAGAGAUUUCUUGAAAUAUAUUAAAAAUUAAUUAUUUUGAUCAUCUUGGCUAAACAAAAAAAUGUUGGUAAAAGGAAAACUUAGGUACUAAGAUAUCAAGUUGGUAUCAUCAGCAAGAAUUGUAUAAAUUAGAGAGUCCAAUUGAUAUAGAUGAGAAGGUAUGACAUGAGAAGAUUAUUAAUAUGGUUUAAUUGUUAAUAAUUCAUAAAUACUAGGUCGUAUUUAAUAUUAUUUCUUAAUUUAUAAAUGUCAUCGGCUCAUGUUAAUCUUUUCUGUAUCGUUCUAAUUUUAUUGGAUGUUUCUAGGUUAUGCUGGGCUUUGACGAAGAUAUCAAGUGAAAAAGUUUAUAAUAUCUUGAUUUAUAGAGUAGACAUAAUUAAGAUUGAUUUAUAAAGAUAUGAUGGACUUACUAUUAUUAAUUUUAACUUAAACACUUUAAUCAAUGGUUUAAGUUUUAAUAGCUCAUUAGUUUGUUAAGAGUAUCGACACAAUGACAGGGAGAUACAUGAUUAAGCUAGUCUCACACAAUGAUAGAGUGAUGCAUGGUUAAUCCCUUUAUGCAAGAUUUACUUUUUUAACAUGAGAUGAUCAUUGUUUUCUUUGUUUUUCAUGAGUAAAGUUAGCAUGUUCUCGAAGAUAAAAGAAAAAAAAAUUGACACGACAAGAGAGGAAUGGUAGCAACAGAUUCUGAACACAAACUAAGAUUCAAAGAUGAUGCAACCUUGCUGUUGCAAAAGUAGAUGAGUAACUUGGCUCUGAUAGCUGGAAUUGAAGGUCUUCCUUCCUCUUGUUCUGCUCAGUUGCAUUAUCAUGUCAAUUUCCAGGAGAGUUUCCCAGCGACUGCUGAUCGCUGUCUUCUUGGUGACCACAAAUCUUGUCUUUCUUUUAUUCGUGUUAAUAAUGGUUGUCUGAUAGCUACAAAUUUCUCCUAUUUAGCAGUUCUUAGGAAAUUCUCAAAACCUUCACAUUCAAGAAGAUGCUGGAGUCUUUAGAUGAAAGCUAUUCCAACUUUGGGACUCGUCAAAAUCAGAAGUCAUAGUUGACUGACUUGAGGAUAGACAACAAUAUGAAAUGAAGAACAAGUGCAUGAUAUUGGCAGACAGCCUAAUUGUUGAAGGUUUCUUGGUCUACUCUUUGAAUCCGUCAGUUGAGUAGUUUCAGACUAACGGAGGAUGAUCCAAACAGGGCAUGAUAAUAAUAUUUUGUGUAUUGCAAGCUGUCCACCGCAGAUUUCUCAUGAUUAAUCUUAAGAUAAGCUGCGUAUUUUUAUUAUCUGUAAUCUAAGAUAAUUGUGUUGGUGUGAGAUGAUCCACUUUGAUCAAGUACACAAUUUCCCUCCCAAUCGAUGGAAUCAUGGUUGUGGUAAUAAUUGUUUUCAGGUGUAUGCAAAAAGGCAAAUCUACCUGUUCUGUGAAAUUUCUUGCCAGUUUCUAUGCACUACCGGUGCCAGAAAUAUGAAAAUCUAAUUAAAUACCUUGACGAAUUAAGCUGCCAUUAUGGUUGUUUUUCUAGUUUCUUGGACUCGUUUUAGACAUUACAAGUGUAUGACACUGGAUUUGCUCAGUAGAACAUCAUGGACGACCUUCUAUCAUUGUCAACCUAGAACAUCGNNNNNNNNNNNNNNNNNNNNNNNNNNNNNNNNNNNNNNNNNNNNNNNNNNNNNNNNNNNNNNNNNNNNNNNNNNNNNNNNNNNNNNNNNNNNNNNNNNNNNNNNNNNNNNNNNNNNNNNNNNNNNNNNNNNNNNNNNNNNNNNNNNNNNNNNNNNNNNNNNNNNNNNNNNNNNNNNNNNNNNNGUGCAGCAAUCAUACUGGGCAUGUCGUCAAGCUGGACCUCCAGAAUCCGCAUCCUUUCUCGGAUUUUGGUGACGAGCCAUACAACAACUGGACCUUAGGAGGUGAGUUGAGGCCUUCUUUACUUGGUCUGAAACACCUGAAGUACCUGGACCUAAGCAUGAACGAUUUUGGAGGCAUUAAUAUUCCAGAAUUCAUGGGGUCAUUCCAUCAACUCCAAUAUCUUAACCUCUCCAGAGCUGGAUUGGGUGGACUCCUGCCUCACCAGCUGGGAAAUCUCUCCAAUCUGCAGUAUCUAGACUUAUCCAAUGACUUGGAUCCCAAUUUUGUGGUUCCGGUCCGUGAAUUUAGCAUUGGUGAUGCACUCUGGAUUUCUCACCUUUCUUCUCUAAAGCAUCUCAACCUGAAGAGUGUUAACUUUCAAAAUGGUACGCACUGGCUGGAAGCUCUGAACAUGCUUCCUUCUAUUCUGGAGAUAUACUUAUCUCUCUGCGAAAUUGGAAGUGUUCCCC